This 435-nucleotide ribosomal RNA is filed under the name uncultured bacterium. RNAcentral's name for it is "bacterial SSU rRNA". It matches the Rfam family "Bacterial small subunit ribosomal RNA", at positions 86 to 518 of the family's 1533-position model. The record is from RNAcentral.
AGAUGGCGACCGGCGCACGGGUGAGUAACACGUAUCCAACCUGCCGCUUAUCGGGGAUAGCCUUUCGAAAGAAAGAUUAAUACCCGAUGGUAUAAAGAGUUCGCAUGUUCUCUUUAUUAAAGAAUUUCGGUAAGCGAUGGGGAUGCGUUCCAUUAGAUAGUUGGCGGGGUAACGGCCCACCCAAGUCUACGAUGGAUAGGGGGUUCUGAGAGGAAGGUCCCCCACAUUGGAACUGAGACACGGUCCAAACUCCUACGGGAGGCAGCAGUGAGGAAUAUUGGUCAAUGGACGAGAGUCUGAACCAGCCAAGUAAGCGUGAAGGAUGACUGCCCUAUGGGUUGUAAACUUCUUUUAUAAGGGAAUAAAGUGAGGGACGUGUCCCUUUUGUUAUGUACCUUAUGAAUAAGGAUCGGCUAACUCCGUGCCAGCCGCCGC